This 253-nucleotide ribosomal RNA is filed under the name uncultured bacterium. RNAcentral describes it as "partial 16S ribosomal RNA". It matches the Rfam family "Bacterial small subunit ribosomal RNA", at positions 524 to 776 of the family's 1533-position model. The record is from RNAcentral.
GACGUAGGGCGCGAGCGUUGUCCGGAUUUAUUGGGCGUAAAGAGCUCGUAGGCGGUUUGUCGCGUCGAAUGUGAAAACCCGGGGCUCAACUCCGGGCCUGCAUUCGAUACGGGCAGACUAGAGUUCGGUAGGGGAGACUGGAAUUCCUGGUGUAGCGGUGAAAUGCGCAGAUAUCAGGAGGAACACCGGUGGCGAAGGCGGAUCUCUGGGCCGAUACUGACGCUGAGGAGCGAAAGCGUGGGGAGCGAACAGG